Long non-coding RNA from Haliotis rufescens (red abalone), 285 nucleotides. RefSeq lists it as uncharacterized. The transcript has 3 exons. The record is from RefSeq and is a predicted model, not a curated record. Lineage: Eukaryota; Metazoa; Mollusca; Gastropoda; Lepetellida; Haliotidae.
ACAUUCGAAGUUGAAACAAUGAAGUGUUUCGAUUUUUUUUAACUCUACAGGAUCAAGACCAAUGUUAGUCGGAGUGUCUUCUGCCUUGCACCUAACUACUGUAGGAGUACGCCAUGUGCAAAUGGAGGAACAUGUAUUGCAGGCCGUGACGGUUUCACAUGCGCAUGUAAGGCAGGAUAUACAGGUCGUACGUGUGAUGGCGAUCCUUGUACUGUUUCAACAAUGAUACCAGACAUAGAGAAAAGAGGGCCAUCUAACACCCACGCUGGACAAGUCAGAGAUUCG